GAUGAACGCUAGCUACAGGCUUAACACAUGCAAGUCGAGGGGCAGCAUAUUUAUAGCAAUAUAAAUGAUGGCGACCGGCGCACGGGUGAGUAACACGUAUCCAACCUGCCGUUUACUCGGGGAUAGCCUUUCGAAAGAAAGAUUAAUACCCGAUGGUAUAUAUUGAUUUCAUGGUCUUCAUAUUAAAGAAUUUCGGUAAACGAUGGGGAUGCGUUCCAUUAGGCAGUUGGCGGGGUAACGGCCCACCAAACCUACGAUGGAUAGGGGUUCUGAGAGGAAGGUCCCCCACAUUGGAACUGAGACACGGUCCAAACUCCUACGGGAGGCAGCAGUGAGGAAUAUUGGUCAAUGGGCGUAGGCCUGAACCAGCCAAGUAGCGUGAAGGAUGACUGCCCUAUGGGUUGUAAACUUCUUUUAUAAGGGAAUAAAGUGGAGUAUGUAUACUCUUUUGUAUGUACCUUAUGAAUAAGGAUCGGCUAACUCCGUGCCAGCCGCCGCAGUAA
RNAcentral lists this ribosomal RNA (503 nucleotides) under uncultured bacterium. Its description in RNAcentral is "partial 16S ribosomal RNA". It matches the Rfam family "Bacterial small subunit ribosomal RNA", at positions 28 to 523 of the family's 1533-position model. The record is from RNAcentral.